CAUAGGAAACGUUUGGAUAAAAAAAUGGAUAGACUCUGGAAGAGCUUGCUGCACUGUCCUUGUAGGCAAAGAAAAACUGUUCCAUCAGUGCCUGUUCCUCCUCUCUUUGUAAUUCAGGUAUGGUGAGUAAGUCUGAGAGUAUCACCAGUAACCUUUCUGUUGGAUUAGUUGCAACAAAUGGCAGAGAUGAACACAUUUGCUUUAAUUCUGUGUUCACGUAAAACAGACGCUGGUGGAUUCCCUUCAGAUAUUUGAAGGGAAGCUGGUUUGAUUUUUAAAUUCAUAUUGCAGCCUGUCUGCAGAGCACUCAAUUAUCACAAUUAAAGAGAAAUCAGCUGAGUAGUAGCAAAGUGGAAUGUUUUCAUUACUAUUUUUAUGAAUUAAUGAAAAAAUCAGUCAUUAAGAUAGCUAAGAGUAAUAUUUUUAAAUUUACUUCUCAGUCUUUGUCAUCCAAUUAACUUAAAUUCAUUUUAAUUUCUUUAAUUGAUUAAUUAUUUAAAUUGAUUUUAAUGGAAAAAUUGUCUCAUUCCUGUAGUUUUUUAUUUUGAAAAUUGAUAUUUGAGUUACACUUUUUGUUGUUGAUUUUCAUUAUUAUUUUAUUGCACAGAUAGCAGAUGUACUGACCAAGUAUACCUUGAAACUGGAAGAAAUUUCUUUCUUCUUGGCAGCUGAUGUUCACAAGCUCAUUAACAAUAAGGCCAUGGUAAAUGUUUUAAAAUGGCUUUAAAUAAAAUAAUGCACAGUAGUAUGGAUACUCUGAUUCAUAAUUUUAUAUUUUAAGUGCCGACUGAUUUGUAUUUUAAGAUACCUGACUCUUGUUUCCUACUUUGAUAGCACCUUGUUGCCUCCAAAACAUACACAAUCUGACAUAAUAAAUGAAUGGUACAGAACUCUGGAGAAUUUAAACAGGAGUAUUGACACACCUAAUGUGGAGUGCAUGGAGAAAAUGCGCAUCCAGUAUGAGCUGGUCCAGGACAAAUGUCAGGAAAAAGUGCAGGUCUGCAAGGUGAGUGUCAGCUUUGG
This 1023-nucleotide long non-coding RNA is filed under the name Cyanistes caeruleus (blue tit). RNAcentral's name for it is "lncRNA (ENSCCEG00000002541.1)". The record is from RNAcentral. Lineage: Eukaryota; Metazoa; Chordata; Aves; Passeriformes; Paridae.